GAAUACAUAGCUUAAUGAGGGGAACUCAGGGAACUGAAACAUCUAAGUACCUGAAGGAAGAGAAAGAAAUUCGAUUCCGUAAGUAGCGGCGAGCGAACGCGGGUUAGCCCAAACCAAUAAAGUUUUCUUUAUUGGGGUUGCGGACAUAUCAUAACGAAGAGGGAUCGUAAUUGAAGAGGUUUGGAAAGACCCACCACAGAAGGUAAUAGUCCUGUAUGUUAAACGAGAAGACUUCAGAUAUGAUCCAGAGUACCACGGGACACGUGAAACCCUGUGGGAAGCAGGAGGGACCACCCUCCAAGGCUAAAUACUACCUAGUGACCGAUAGCGUAUAGUACCGUGAGGGAAAGGUGAAAAGAACCCCGGGAGGGGAGUGAAAUAGAACCUGAAACCCUGCACUUACAAGCUGUGGAAGCACAUUUCUUGUGUGACCGCGUACUUUUUGUAGAACGGGCCAACGAGUUACGUUAAGUAGCAAGGUUAAGCACUUAAGGUGCGGAGCCGUAGCGAAAGCGAGUUUUAACUGAGCGUUCAGUUACUUGACGUAGACCCGAAACCGGGCGACCUACCCAUGAGCAGGAUGAAGCGAAAGUAAAAUUUCGUGGAGGUCCGAACCCACGAGCGUUGAAAAGCUCGGGGAUGACUUGUGGGUAGCGGUGAAAUUCCAAUCGAGCCCGGAGAUAGCUGGUUCUCCCCG
RNAcentral lists this ribosomal RNA (697 nucleotides) under Clostridioides difficile. RNAcentral describes it as "partial 23S ribosomal RNA". It matches the Rfam family "Bacterial large subunit ribosomal RNA", at positions 160 to 861 of the family's 2925-position model. The record is from RNAcentral. Lineage: Bacteria; Bacillati; Bacillota; Clostridia; Peptostreptococcales; Peptostreptococcaceae.